Molecule: ribosomal RNA, 527 nt
Filed under: uncultured bacterium
Lineage: Bacteria
Description: bacterial SSU rRNA
Rfam family: Bacterial small subunit ribosomal RNA
Source: RNAcentral
ACAUCCAGAGAACUUUAGCAGAGAUGCUUUGGUGCCUUCGGGAACUCUGAGACAGGUGCUGCAUGGCUGUCGUCAGCUCGUGUUGUGAAAUGUUGGGUUAAGUCCCGCAACGAGCGCAACCCUUUAUCCUUUGUUGCCAGCGGUUCGGCCGGGAACUCAAAGGAGACUGCCGGUGAUAAACCGGAGGAAGGUGGGGAUGACGUCAAGUCAUCAUGGCCCUUACGGCCAGGGCUACACACGUGCUACAAUGGCGCAUACAAAGAGAAGCGACCUCGCGAGAGCAAGCGGACCUCAUAAAGUGCGUCGUAGUCCGGAUUGGAGUCUGCAACUCGACUCCAUGAAGUCGGAAUCGCUAGUAAUCGUAGAUCAGAAUGCUACGGUGAAUACGUUCCCGGGCCUUGUACACACCGCCCGUCACACCAUGGGAGUGGGUUGCAAAAGAAGUAGGUAGCUUAACCUUCGGGAGGGCGCUUACCACUUUGUGAUUCAUGACUGGGGUGAAGUCGUAACAAGGUAGGCGUAGCGAG